GGGGUUCCACGAGUGUUUUUAUGGCACUCUUUAAAAUCCAUAUCCACCUUGUGUGCAAUGUUUGUUGGGAAAGUCUUUUUCUUUCCCUUCAUAAAUAUCAACCUAUAUCUUUAACAACAUUCGUCUGAUAACAUAUUAUGAAUAUACUUAAUUCAAAAUAUAACUUUCAACAACGGAUCUCUUGGCUCUCGCAUCGAUGAAGAACGCAGCGAAAUGCGAUACGUAAUGUGAAUUGCAGAAUUCAGUGAAUCAUCGAAUCUUUGAACGCAUAUUGCGCUCUUUGGUAUUCCGAAGAGCAUGCUUGUUUGAGUAUCAGUAAACACCUCAACCUCUCUUUUUUGAUAAAAAAAAAAGGGAGGGUGGACUUGAGCUAUCCCAACGACCUUCACCGGUAGGCGGGCGGCUUGAAAUGCAGGUGCAGCUGGACUUUUAUCUGAGCUAAAAGCAUAUCUAUUUAGUCCUCGUCAAACAGGAUUAUUACUUUUGCUGCAGCUAACAUAAAGGAUAAUUGUCCUCUUUGCUGACUGAUGCAGGAUUUUACGACACUUUAUGUGUUGUUCAACUCGAUCUCAAAUCAAGUAAGACUACCCGCUGAACUUAAGCAUAUCAAUAAGCGGGAGGAA
This 623-nucleotide ribosomal RNA is filed under the name fungal sp. QLF13. Its description in RNAcentral is "eukaryotic LSU rRNA". The stretch from base 162 to 315 matches the Rfam family "5.8S ribosomal RNA". Lineage: Eukaryota; Fungi. The record is from RNAcentral.